Molecule: ribosomal RNA, 503 nt
Filed under: uncultured bacterium
Lineage: Bacteria
Description: partial 16S ribosomal RNA
Rfam family: Bacterial small subunit ribosomal RNA
Source: RNAcentral
AUUGAACGCUGGCGGCAGGCUUAACACAUGCAAGUCGAGCGGGGUGAUGGUGCUUGCACUAUCACUUAGCGGCGGACGGGUGAGUAAUGCUUAGGAAUCUGCCUAUUAGUGGGGGACAACAUCUCGAAAGGGAUGCUAAUACCGCAUACGUCCUACGGGAGAAAGCAGGGGAUCACUUGUGACCUUGCGCUAAUAGAUGAGCCUAAGUCGGAUUAGCUAGUUGGUGGGGUAAAGGCCUACCAAGGCGACGAUCUGUAGCGGGUCUGAGAGGAUGAUCCGCCACACUGGGGCUGAGACACGGCCCAGACUCCUACGGGAGGCAGCAGUGGGGAAUAUUGGACAAUGGGGGGAACCCUGAUCCAGCCAUGCCCCGUGUGUGAAGAAGGCCUUAUGGUUGUAAAGCACUUUAAGCGAGGAGGAGGCUCUUUUGGUUAAUACCCAAGAUGAGUGGACGUUACUCGCAGAAUAAGCACCGGCUAACUCUGUGCCAGCCGCCGCAGUAA